RNAcentral lists this unclassified non-coding RNA (201 nucleotides) under uncultured fungus. RNAcentral's name for it is "sequence contains ITS1". The record is from RNAcentral. Lineage: Eukaryota; Fungi.
AUAUUUUGAAUUAAGUAUUCAUAAUAGUUUUCAGACGAUAUGUUAAAAAAUGAGUUUGUUAUGAAAAAGAACAGGACGAAAGAUUUUUUUACGAUCUCUCAAAUUGUCCCUCUUAACAUUGCACACAAGGUGGAUAUGGAUUUUAAAAGUGCCAUAAAACACUUAUUAUGAAUGAUCCUUCCGCAGGUUCACCUACGGAAA